RNAcentral lists this ribosomal RNA (468 nucleotides) under uncultured bacterium. RNAcentral describes it as "partial 16S ribosomal RNA". It matches the Rfam family "Bacterial small subunit ribosomal RNA", at positions 28 to 507 of the family's 1533-position model. The record is from RNAcentral.
GACGAACGCUGGCGGCGUGCUUAAUACAUGCAAGUCGAACGGAAAGGCCCUGCUCUUGCGGGGUGCUCGAGAGCCGAACGCGUGAGUAAAACGUGUGUAACAUCUCCUUGACUUUGGGAUAACUUCUGGAAACUGGGGCUCAUACAGCGUAGAAGCUCCUGCUGCACGGUGGGGGUUGGAAAGUUUCGGCGGUUGGGGAUGGACUGGCGGCUUAUCAGCUUGUUAGUGGGGUAGUGAUUUACCAAGGCUGUGACGGGUAGCCGGCCUUGGAGGGUGACCGGCGACAUGGGGACUGAGGGAGGGAGCAGUAGGGAAUGGUAGGCAGCGGUGGAGAAUAUUGCGCAAUGAGGCGAAGCGUGAGGCGACAGCGCUCGGAUCGUGAUGAUGUCCUUCGGGUGGUAAACCGCUGUCGCCUGUGACGAAGCGUGAGUGACGGUAAUUGGUAAGAAAGCACCGGCUAACUACGUG